Paramuricea clavata is the source of this 132-nucleotide non-coding RNA. The record is from the annotation of a GenBank genome assembly. Lineage: Eukaryota; Metazoa; Cnidaria; Anthozoa; Malacalcyonacea; Plexauridae.
UUCCAUUACGCGGAAUUUUGCGUGCGGAGCGGAAUUUUUCUUUGUGUUGUGAUUUCUCGGGUGGAACUAAUUAGAAAAGACAAAGAAUUAUAUAAAGAUUCCGCUCCGCGCGCAAAAUUCCGCCUAUUGGAA